GCCAACAAUUUAGCCCCACCCUUCAUUAUUAAUCAACCUCACCUUACUCUUUUUUCCCAAAACAUUUUAACAUUCUAGUAAAGGCGAUUAAAAAAUUGCUCGGGAGCAAUAAACAUAGUACCGCAAGGGAAAAAUGAAAUAAAAAUGAAAAACUCUUAAGCACAAAACAGUAGAGAUUUACUCUCGUACCUUUUGCAUCAUGGUUUAACUAGUCUAACCAAGCAAAAAGACUUUUAGUUUGACUUCCCGAACCCAGGCGAGCUAUUUUAAGACAGCUUUUUGAGCUAACCCGUCUCUGUUGCAAAAGAGUGGGAAGAUCCUAAAAUAGAGGUGACAGACCUAACGAGCCUGGCGAUAGCUGGUUGCCCCUGAAAAGGAUCUUAGUCCCGCUUAAAGACUUAAUUAUAAUUCUAAAUCAUUCUUUAAAGUAAUUCAAUCAAGGUACAGCUUGUUUGAAAAAGGAUACAACCUCAAUUACUGGGUAUUUUCCUCAAUGACUAAGGUGACCAAGUAGGCCUAAGAGCAGCCAUCUUCAAUAAAAGCGUCAAAGCUUAAUCACCCUUCAUUCCAAUCCCUUCAUCUUUUAUUUAACCCUUUAUUACUAAGGGGCAAAUCUAUAUUUAUAUAGAAAAUUUUAUGUUAAAACUAGUAAUAAGAAGACGACUCUUCUCUUUAAUGUAAGUAUACAUCAGCAAGGACACCCCACUGAUCAUUAACGCUCUUAAUCCUAAAGUAAUAACUAACCUAGAAAAACUUACUCUAAUCCCACGUUAACCUAACACAAGCACAUUAUAAGAAAGAUUUUAAGAAAAAGAAGGAACUCGGCAAAUCUUUAGCCUCGCCUGUUUACCAAAAACAUCGCCUCCUGACUCAAAAUAGGAGGUCCAGCCUGCCCAGUGACAUUGUUCAACGGCCGCGGUAUCCUAACCGUGCGAAGGUAGCGUAAUCACUUGUUCUUUAAAUGAGGACUAGAAUGAAUGGCUUCACGAAGGCUAUACUGUCUCCUUUUUCUAAUCAAUGAAACUAAUCUUCUCGUGAAGAAGCGAGAAUCUAACUAUAAGACGAGAAGACCCUAUGGAGCUUUAAAUAUAAAGAUAUCUGCCCCUCCUUUUUGCAACUUCUUAGAAUUAAACAUACCCAGGCACUUUAUCUCAAAUUUUAGGUUGGGGUGACCACGGAGCACAAAUUACCCUCCAUGCUGAAAGAAUUCAUCUUCUUAGUUAAAAGCUACAACUUUACACACCAAUAAAUUGACUCUAAUUGACCCAAUAACUUGAUCAACGGACCAAGUUACCCUAGGGAUAACAGCGCAAUCUAUUUCAAGAGCUCAUAUCGACAAAUAGGUUUACGACCUCGAUGUUGGAUCAGGGUAUCCCAGAGGUGCAGCCGCUUCUAAUGGUUCGUUUGUUCAACGAUCAAAACCCUACGUGAUCUGAGUUCAGACCGGAGUAAUCCAGGUCAGUUUCUAUCUAUAAAGAGCUUUACCUAGUACGAAAGGACCGAUAAAGCACGGCCAAUGUUCUCACUAAGCCGUAAA
This 1537-nucleotide ribosomal RNA is filed under the name Hyloxalus azureiventris (sky-blue poison frog). RNAcentral describes it as "16S ribosomal RNA". It matches the Rfam family "Bacterial large subunit ribosomal RNA", at positions 260 to 2760 of the family's 2925-position model. Lineage: Eukaryota; Metazoa; Chordata; Amphibia; Anura; Dendrobatidae. The record is from RNAcentral.